RNAcentral lists this ribosomal RNA (515 nucleotides) under uncultured bacterium. Its description in RNAcentral is "partial 16S ribosomal RNA". It matches the Rfam family "Bacterial small subunit ribosomal RNA", at positions 28 to 523 of the family's 1533-position model. The record is from RNAcentral.
GAUGAACGCUGGCGGCGUGCCUAAUACAUGCAAGUCGAGCGAAUGGAUUAAGAGCUUGCCCUUAUGAAGUUAGCGGCGGACGGGUGAGUAACACGUGGGUAACCUGCCCAUAAGAAUGGGAUAACUCCGGGAAACCGGGGCUAAUACCGGAUAACAUUUUGAACCGCAUGGUUCGAAAUUGAAAGGCGGCUUCGGAUGUCACUUAUGGAUGGACCCGGGUCGCAUUAGCUAGUUGGUGAGGUAACGGCUCACCAAGGCAACGAUGCGUAGCCGACCUGAGAGGGUGAUCGGCCACACUGGGACUGAGACACGGCCCAGACUCCUACGGGAGGCAGCAGUAGGGAAUCUUCCGCAAUGGACGAAAGUCUGACGGAGCAACGCCGCGUGAGUGAUGAAGGCUUUCGGGUCGUAAAACUCUGUUGUUAGGGAAGAACAAGUGCUAGUUGAAUAAGCUGGCACCUUGACGGUACCUAACCAGAAAGCCACGGUUAACUACGUGCCAGCCGCCGCGGUAA